RNAcentral lists this long non-coding RNA (4511 nucleotides) under Malus domestica (apple). RNAcentral's name for it is "long non-coding RNA (MDOM_LNC011642)". The record is from RNAcentral. Lineage: Eukaryota; Viridiplantae; Streptophyta; Magnoliopsida; Rosales; Rosaceae.
AAGUGACGGAUUCCUAAAAUGAACUUUGGCGUGUGCAAAGAUGAGAGAGAGAGAGAGAGAGAGAGAGAGAGAGAGAGAGAGAGAGAGAGAGAGAGAGAGAGAGAGAGAGUACCCCGAGAAGGUCAGUAAGAGCAGCACGCAAUUCAGUCAUCACGGAGUGACAAACAUCGACAUUUUCAUCUGUUGACCGAACGGCUGCCCAUAUACGUUCUCCUAUCCCGGGACCUAAGUCAGGUCUGACUGUACUAACCCAUUCACCAUGGUUGCUCUUGAAUUCAUACCUAUUCUAUCAACCAAAUAAUAAAUUUGGAAUUCAUUAUGAACGACAAAUUUAAAUUUUGUUAAUCAAGGUGAAGAUGCAGAAAUUAUCACACUCAUAUUCAAGUCCACCAAAUCAGCACCUUACGAGAAGAUGAAAGGCGGUUGAUAGGGCUGCCAAUGACGGUAUAAUGUACUCUUCACUUGGAUUUCCUUUAUCCAAGAAAGAGUUCAAGCUUGGAACUUUGUCCUUGACAACAUCCCCGAGGUUAGCAUGUUUUAUAACUUGACCUGCAUUUGCAGAUAUAACGAGUGAGCGUCUUCUUUCCAUGUUAUGAGCUUGUCCCUAUCUCAGCAGGAGACCCAAUUUAAUAAGUGAAUAAUUUUCGGUUAAUAAUCUGUCUAUUGAACAUAAUGGCCAAUUUGUGUCUUAAAAUGCGGGGGAAUUAUAAAUUGGACUCGAUUCAUGUCAAUCAAAAUACUUACAGCGAGAGAUGAAACAGAUGAAUACGGUCAAAUCACUUACCCCCAAAUAACUUCUCAACUGAGUCAACAAGUACUUGUUUCACUCGACUGCUUGGAACACUUGAAAUCUGGAAACAGUCUUCUGCGAUGAUUAACUGAGUGGGUACGACAGGACCCGUAUCAGGCAAUUGGAGUAACACUCGUCCAAGUCUAUUCAAAAUUGCAGGAUUCCUUGCAAACCAUCCUAUAUCAGAAGUUAGUGUCAAAAGGAUAGUUUCCGAUUGCUUAGAGUGCUAGAUAGAUCAUUCGCAUAGGUAAAGCUUUCGAAGUACUAUAUUUCCAAUUGCAGAAAAAUUUAAACAAAGAAGUGUCACAAGUAAUAAUCAACAAAAAUGCAGAAUGCAUGGAUGGCAUAUGAAUCAUUAAAGCGGAAGAAGUUAGCUACUUUCUAGAAACAGAAAUAGAGAUUUCCUGUUAUAUAAAAUCAAGGGAAAACCAAAACAUGACUUUUUUUUGUCACAACCAGAAAUCUAUUUCCUAAGCCAGUCUGCAAUAUAAAAUGUCAUUGAUUUCUCACCCACUGUAUCGAAACUUUGUGCCAGAGGAGUAACUCCAGAAGUAGAAAUGACGCCAUGAGAUGGCCGAAACCCAAAAAUUCCACAAUAUGAAGCAGGAACUCUUACACUUCCUCCAGUAUCGGUUCCUGAAAAAGUGAGGGCCUUGUGCUUCAACUUAAAGAAGCAAGAAAACAACAAAAGCACACAAGGAAUAACUUACCUAAGGAAAAAUCUGCGAGGCCUGCAGCUACGACAACAGCAGAACCGCUAGAAGAGCCUCCAGGCACCCUAUCUGGUGCGCACGGAUUUCUGGGUGUGCCAUAAUGCUUGUUCUCUCCAUUCAUACUGCCAACAACACAAUGCAAAAUUCAAGGGCGUUUUCUGUUGAGUGAUUUUCGAAUGUCCAAAAUCAUUAUAUAAAUACUUUUACCACGAAAAUAGACUUGUAGGGAUCAAUCAUUUGUCAAAAUUUUUUGCAAACAAAACAGUAAUGCAAGUUUAAGCAUGUGAAGUAAGACAAGGCCUCUUUGCACUAACCAGUAAGCCAUUUCAUCCAUGACAGUUAUACCAAUACUUGUGGCACCUCCACUCAAUAUUGCCGAAACAGCCGGAGCUGUUGAUUCAGCAGCCGGGUGAGUCCUCGCCCAAUCAGGAUUCCCAAACCCAGUCACACGUCCAGCCACAUCAAAUCUGCCUCCAAGUUCAAAUUUUAGUGAAUACAAAAAUGUUUUGGCUUUUACACACACACACACACAAGAAAAAAAAAAUUGCACAAUUCAACACCCUGAAGUUCAUCAUCAUGGUUCCACAAGCACGCAUAAAACCACACAAAGCAGGAAGAUUUAUUAAAACGCUUCUCUGAAAAAGCACUUCUCAUCAUAAGUGCUUUUGUUGGAAGUAUUUUAACUUUAGUAGAAGCAAAUCCACCACAAAGUUUCAUUAAAAAUUCAAGUGCUUCAGGUAAAAAUAAAAAAUAAAAAAACUUUUGAACUUUUUUCUUUCUUUCUGAAAGUGCUUUUAGUCAUUCUCAAAUGAAGAAACGCCCAAUCACAGAAACAACCCACAAAAUUGGGUUGUUGUUGGAGAAAACUGCUUGAAUUCAAAUCCGAAAUUCGCAAGCAUCCACCAAAUAGAAGAGUGAUAUAAAUGAGGAAAAUUUAAGAGAGUAGCUCUCACAUGUCUUUAACAGCAAAGGUGAGGCUGCUCAGAGGAAGGUCAUGUGACGAAGACGGCGGCCGAAGAAGGAAUUUCUCCACGAAAGCUCCAUGUUCUGAGUCUAUCGCCAUCCCUCUCUGCCACUGCUGUCUCAGACAAUCUCAGCCUCAGCAGCAGCUCCACAUUUUGAUGACAGAAGUGAACAGCUCUCCACUCAUCAAUCAUGCGAUGAUCACUUCAGCCAGUGAGGACAAAUAUUAUUCCUUAAAAAAAAUCUGUGUUGAUAAGGCGGUCACUUCAGCCAGUGAGGACAAACUGGAAAUUCUGGAGGUUGCUUAAGUCCUCACUGUGGUCGUUAGACAUUGAGAAUCGAUAAAGUGGUACUUAAAAGCAGGAAAAACAACUUACCAUAAAAUCUGAAACAUCAAAUGUGUUUAAAAGGUCGUACCCAGUGCACAAGGCUCCCGCUUUACGCAGGGUUUGGGAGAGGUGAAUGUCGGCUAGCCUUACCCCCAUUUAUGGAGAGGCUGCUCUCAAGUCUCGAACCCGAGACCUACCGCUCAUGGGCGAAGGCACUUGCCAUCGCACCAAGUGCGACCUCAAAUGUGUUUGGUAAAAAAAAAAAAAGCUUAUUUAAAAAAUUGUUGUCAAUGACAACAAAAAAGCAUAGAAAAGCAGAAGUAGGAUCUACUAUGCUUUAAAAUUAUCUAAGCAUAGUGAACAGUGGCCAUUUGAUGAAAUUUUCAAAUAGCAAGUAUACCCCUGCCUUUUUUACAAAAUAACAAUCGUUGCCCGUGGAAUAUUAUCUUUGACAACUAUUAUAGGGAAUUAUUAUUAGCAUUCCAAAAGUCUCAUUUGACAUUCCAAACUUUCUAUAAUUAGAAAGAAAAAAAACACUUGUGAGGAGUGUAGAAUGAGAUUUUUGGAAUGCUAAUAACAGUUCCGUUAUUAUAUCACAUUAAAUGCCAUAUCAUUUUUAGUAUUUAACAUAUUCACAUUAAUUUUAUAUAAAAGUUGACAUAACACUCAGAUACUGUUUUCUUUUUUUUUACAAGCACUUUUACAAUAAAAGUUUAUUAAACGCUUAACAACUUUAUUUUACAGCUGUUCUGCUGUUUUUUUUUUUUUUUUUAACAUAACAAUACCAAACUAGCAAAACUUACAAGCACAUAUAUCAGGAAAAGAUUAUCAGAGUCUGCAACUCAAAAUCUUGUAGUCAACAUUCACAACUUCCCGACGUGUUCUUUGAGAGUGUCGUAAAGAGUCUCGACAAGAUUGAGCAGGAACCCGUCCGAGCCAUGCUUUGCCAGCAAGGAAACUGAAACGGGUAGGUUAUCGUACAUCCCUAGUGGUAUAGUCACCUGCAAAUACGUAGAAAUACGUUACAAACUUUCACAAGAUAUUUGCAGUCAUUGAAGAAGAAAAAGAUCGUAGUCAUAUACAAACAUGGAGACUGGAGAGGGGGAGGGAGAAGUAGAGAUAGAUAGAGGGCUUAAAAACCUGGCAGAAUCCGGAAACUACGGCAAUGGAUAGGAAGCUGAAAGCCCUGGCACGAAAAUUGUGCAGUGUUGUAGGAUCUGUUUGCAGCUUUGGUGGAUCCCCUGGAACUGUAGGCAUUGCGAGGACACCGAAAUCCUGAUGAGUAAAUCAAAGAGAUUGUGUUAUGUAUUCAUUAGAGACGGUAUGUAUCAUCCAUUUCUUCUGCUAAAGGUACCUUUUUAAGAGCAAAAGGAAGGAAGAUGCUAACAAAUAACAGUUUGUCAAAGAUGAGAGAGAGAGAGAGAGAGAGAGAGAGUACCCCGAGAAGGUCAGUAAGAGCAGCACGCAAUUCAGUCAUCACGGAGUGACAAACAUCGACAUUUUCAUCUGUUGACCGAACAGCUGCCCAUAUACGUUCUCCUAUCCCGGGACCUAAGUCAGGUCUGACUGUACUAACCCAUUCACCAUGGUUGCUCUUGAAUUCAUACCUAUUCUAUCAACCAAAUGAUAAAUUUGGAAUUCAUUAUGAACGACAAAUUUGAAUUUUGUUGAUCAAGAUGAAGAUGCAGAAAUUAUCACACUCAUAUUCAAGUCGAC